AUCUCUGGUCUUAUUCCGACGAGUUCUUCAAACUCUAGGGUUUUUCGACUUUCGGACCUGGGUUUUGAUGCUAUCCGAUGACUUUACUUUCGGUCAAUAGCAUUUUGGGUAAGCUUCCGAUGUCUGUGACCUUAUCUUGGUGAGUUUCCGUUUAACUGCAAUCUCCGGUGACCGUACUUAGUCUUAUCUGGUGGUUGAAGGCCGUUCUUCUCCGGUCGCGAAGAAGGAGGGUAACACU
Molecule: long non-coding RNA, 238 nt
Filed under: Nicotiana benthamiana
Lineage: Eukaryota; Viridiplantae; Streptophyta; Magnoliopsida; Solanales; Solanaceae
Description: long non-coding RNA (NBEN_LNC001057)
Source: RNAcentral